This is a long non-coding RNA of Acanthochromis polyacanthus (spiny chromis), 2201 nucleotides long. RefSeq lists it as uncharacterized. Lineage: Eukaryota; Metazoa; Chordata; Actinopteri; Pomacentridae. The record is from RefSeq and is a predicted model, not a curated record. The transcript has 3 exons.
UAAAGGUCUGCUGAUCAGUUCAUCACUUUUGGAAAGCCUUUGUUUUGCUAGUGUUUAAAUAACCGUUUCCUCCAGGCUUUUAUUUUGAAGAGGCAUUUUUAAUGCUAUGGGCUUUUAUUUUGUAACCAUUCCAGCGGCGCAGGAAGUGUUUCUAUAAGAAGAGGUUUCUUGACAUGAAGAAGUCCAAAAAUUCAUGUAAAGACGAAAGAAAACGGUUCCACUGUUGCUGUCUAUAAAGGAUGUGUCUGAACUUAGAAGCAGCUGGAAUGGAGACAAGAAAGGAUGGAAGGACAGAAAGGUGAAUUUGUGUUCAAAAUAAGGCUGAACAUAAAUGAAGACUGUGAAACAUCAGGAGCUUCACCGUCAUUCGCCCCCCCACUCUCACUCGCUUUCUUCUUCUUUGGUGUUCGUCUUCUUUCUUCUUCUUUUGAAGAGUUAAUGUCGAUUAAACCAGAUCAUUUGCGCAUUGCUGUGUACUGGGCUGAAGUGUGGAGCAGAAGUUUGUCGGCAACAAAAAAUAUUCAGUCGUAAUUAUAAGAAAGCGGCAAAUUUACUGGUCGCACAUGCGCGAGUAGAUGAAAAAUUUACUGGCACUCGCUCAAAUUUUGGUCGCAAAAUGCGACCAUUUAGUCGCAGUCUGGAGCCCUGAUUUACGGGCUGCACAGUGGUUAGUUCUUUGGCCGUGCAGCCAGAAGAUCCCUGGUUCGUGUCCUGGCCUUCCAGACAGAACAUCAGGAACCAAACAUCUGGACUUAACAGAAGGUUCUUCUGAAAGAAGCAGAACUUUAAGCUCCAUGUUGAAUGUUUGCUUCCAGGAAACCUUCAGUCCACCAGACCAGUUCUGUAUCCAGAUGUGGAUUAUGGUCUGUUAGUGCUCCACAUCUGGAUCUGUUUCUGUUCAGGUUCUGAAGGUUCUAAGACCCAGAAUGUGAACAGGUUUUAUUGUGAAAGGUGGGUUCUACAUCAGGGUUCCUCCACAGAUUCAGGUUCCAUUAGUUUGUUGGUUUUUGAAGUUCUGUCAGAUGUUUAGAGAAUUUUUCUGUUUUAUCCUCAGAAACACCUGAGAAGACAUUUAAAGUUCCAGGAUCUCCAGAAACAAACAACCAUCCAUGAAGAACAGACAGAACCAUUGGAUGGAUCCAGCAGAGAACACAGCUUAACUACUGGACCUGGAGAUAGAACAAAGUGUAGAACCUCCAUCCAGGAUGGUCUACUGUCUCCAUGAAGGUCAGUAGAACCUGAUGACGUUAACGUUGGACCAGACCAGGUUCCAGUUCUCAGACGUUCUAAACUGAAGUAAAACCUCCAGACUGUAGAAGCUUCUCCUGGUGACUGAUGACUCAUCAGCUGCUCUGUUUUCUGAUUGGCUGCUGCUGCAGAGCUGAAAUAAACAGUGGGGACUUUGUGCUGUGUUCAGGCGCUGCAGUAAAUUCCUGGUUAGAGACACCUGAAGGCAUCAUGUGGUGAUGGAAGUGGAUCCUCUGGGACCACUGGUUCUCUGGUUCUCACCUGUCCAGAGAAAAGACUCAGGAAGUAGAAGAGCAGCAGAAUUCUCCUGAACUCAGAAAAGUCCUCAGAACAUCUGGAAACGUUCCAGCUGCUGUCACAUUUUCUGCUUUCAUUCUUUUCCACAUCAAUCUUUGUAGAGAGGAAAUGAGCUGCAGUCAGCAGCAGCUUUUCUUUCACUUCUUCACUUUACAAACCAAGUCUCUGAUGAGUCUCUGGCUCCAAAGUGUUCCUAAAGUUCUCCAGAACUACAGGAGAACCGUUCUGUUGGUGUUCCACUGCAGAGGACAGCAGCUGAGUCAUUCCAUGUCAAUUCAACAAAUGCUUGUUGCACCACUUUCUCAGAUCCUCCCAAAAAUUUUUUUUGGGCUUUAUUUGGGUAAUUUUAUGAACAAAUGCAAAGUAUUAUGGUUAUAAACAUACAGUAUAAGCAGUAAUGAUCUAAUCUAAUACCCAUAGUCAGUCCAAACUUAAUCCUCGCCUAUGAUUUUAGGGUUUUAAACUACUAAAAAAAGCAAUUUAUACUCCUUUUACAUGGUCAGAAUUUUUUCCCCUUCCAAAACUUUUACCCUUCUGGUGAGAAAAGUAUAGAAAUGAAUGAAAAUAAAAAAAUACUGGACUGUGGAAUUUCCCAAAAUAUCCUUAUUAUUUCAUGGGCGACUUUAUUUUGGGUUUUUCAUGCCUCUAUUUUAGGA